AGUGGAGGCGGAGAGGAACGCCUUUUUUAAUGGCGGCAUUUUGAAAGCCGGCGUUUUGGUGUGGGAUUGGUUUGUUUUGGCUUUGAUUCGAGACUUAGUUUCGGUUUGUUAUUAUAGGAAAAAUGAAGGACGCUCCAUUGUUUUAGUAAACGCUUGCAGUUUAUGAUGAAGAUAAAGUCUAGGAUGGUUCUGAAAUACGUCUGGUUGCCAUACAAAAGCAGUGAAUAGGUGGUUCUCCACUUUAAUUUCCGUUUAUUUUUUGGUUGUUUCUCCUUUUUGUUUUCCACCCGUUUUAUUUGUACCCACAACUGCGCGUGUUUUGUACUAAUGUUGUGCGCACAUACCUUCACUAUUAAAUCAACGAACUGCUCCAUUAUUAAACGGAGACUAAAUGGAUGUUGCCAGGCCCCUGAAAACGCCCAGAAUACCGGACUGGAGAGGCGCUUUCUACACCGGAGGUGAUCCAUCCAAACCUACAGAACCCGUACACACACGGGAGGGGGAGGAGGAGGAGGAGAAGAGGAAGAAGAGGGGUGUAGAAACGUGAAGGAGGACAGGUGUUGGGAGCUGGUGUGCGGGUUCCUGUUGACUGACGGGGCCUCCAGGAAUCCGCUGCCGCCUGGAUCUGCCGCCUGUUCCCGAGAAGCCAGGAGAGCGACGUCAGUCCCCGCACUGAACCGCAAGCGCACCCCCAAACCCCCCCCUCCCUCUGCGCCACGCUGGCGUAUACGUGGGCCGGGCGGGGGACCCCCUUUUAAGAAGCCUCUGAGGUCGCCUGCUGGUCGUGCGGUCUGGUUUUGGGAGAGCUGGCCCAGUUCUCUGGCUGGUGAGAUGCGGGGAGCGCUCUGCCACCCCCCCCUCCUCUGUGCCACGCUGGCAUUUAUGUAGGCACAGGGUGACCCCUUUUAAAAAGACGCUGGGCUGCGGUCU
This is a long non-coding RNA of Anguilla rostrata (American eel), 930 nucleotides long. RefSeq lists it as uncharacterized. The transcript is spliced from 3 exons. NCBI's taxonomy places the organism in Eukaryota, Metazoa, Chordata, Actinopteri, Anguilliformes, Anguillidae. The record is from RefSeq and is a predicted model, not a curated record.